UUUUUUUCUCAUUGAAUGCACAGGCAGAGUGACUUUCAAACAGCUUUGUUCACACUGUGCCUGAUCCUGGCUGAAGUGGUUUACAUGCAAAUAAAACCGCAAUUCGGUUAUUUUUGAUCAACGGGUAUGUUGAUCAUUUUGAUCACAGUGUCACAGUGAACAGAAAUGUGAUGUAAUCCCCUACAGGACACCUUCAUAACAUUCAUAUUUCCAGUGACCCGUCUCUCUAAAUUUACCUUGUGUAGACUGAAUCACUGUCUACCCAGCAGGCACUGUUGCUGCCGGUCACACUCUAUCAGCUCCAUUUCACAGCCAUGUUUGUUUGCCUUCAAGAGCUGUGAUGUUACAGAGCAUCGUCCGUCUGUCGCAAUCAUCACAUUCAGUCAUUCUUGGGCAAUCUUUGAGUGGAAAACACACCAGAGUACACCAGGGAAUGUGUUUGUGAGAGAGUGUGUGUUUGUGUCAUUAUAGGAGACUUACUUCACAAUAGCUUCAAGUUUGGUCCUUUGUAGAGUCGUAAUGAGCAAUUUAAAGUGCAUAAAACUUUCAACUCCCUCUUAUAAAAGACUGCUUCUUGCACUGUUGAAACAACUUUUGAUCAGACACAUCAACCAGGGCUGUAGCUGAGGUCAUGUCCUCUGUACUUUUUUUCCAGGAAAUUUGGGGAUCCGAAGCAUAGAUUUUAAAUUUUAUGAUUUCAAGUCACACAUUAUGGGACUUUGAAAUUGUGAGACCAACUUUCUUUUAGACUUGGACAUACACUAAAAAAGUAAAUAAUAAAAUAAUAAGUAAUUAUAACAAUUGAAUAAUAACAAUUCAA
This is a long non-coding RNA of Sander lucioperca (pikeperch), 820 nucleotides long. RefSeq lists it as uncharacterized. The record is from RefSeq and is a predicted model, not a curated record. The transcript has 3 exons. Lineage: Eukaryota; Metazoa; Chordata; Actinopteri; Perciformes; Percidae.